CUCUAUUUGGAAUCAAUCCACUUUUUUCUCAACCUAAUUCACGUUUCCCUAUUCCACAUUCCAAAAUCAACAAUCAAACGCACACUCCAGCUCCUACAAUCGACUCCUUCUCCGCUUCCAUUUUUCUCCGAUCGGCCUCAACUACAACUCUACAAAUCGAACCUUCAAUCCGGUGUUGCCUCCACCUUAAUCUUCGUCCGGUUCUGUCGCAGCUGGAUCCGCUCUGCGUCCGCCUCCGAUGCUAAUCGCUACGCCAAUGGUUCACCUACGUUGCUGCUGUCUCGGUCCGUCGUCACUUCUUCCUCCGGCUUCUUCCUUGGUUAACUCUCACUCAACUUACACCAGAUUGAUGAAAUGUUUAAAGGAAAAUCAUCAAUUAUAAAUUACUUAGGUAUCCAAACAUCAUUAGAGUCGAGGAGGCAACAGACUUCUUUUAUGAUACAGCAACCAUCAGAGUAAGAAGCUUGCAAGGAAAUGAUUUGAAGACUAACAUGAUUAUAUCACAUAUCCAACCUUUUUGAGAUGGGAAUGUUGUAAAGCACAAAACUAGAACUUAUCAUUGGUAAAACGUUGUGUGAAUGUAAAAAAGAAUUGUCCUUACAUUUUUCAUUGCAGCUCUUAAUGACCUACUUACAUGCAACACGAAAGAAGGAUAAAAACCGAGAAACUUCACUCAAAUUGAACACAAGUUAAAAAAACUUAGAGAAGAAGAUUGUGAAUUUAUCCCAACACAACAUCUAUAAUGUUGUUCCCGCUCCUUAUUUUCUUAAUACCAUCCAUAAAGUAAUAAAGUGGCGGGGCGGGGUUUAUCAGGAUCAAAAGCCUUUGCAAAACAAAAUUUAGAAUUAAAGUGAAUGAAUUGAGGCACAUAAGGGAGAUGGUUUUCUCUAGUAGAUUAUGGAGUAGAAGAGAAAAGAGGAAAAAUACUCAUGGAAGCUUUUGAAGAGAUUGCGUUCGUGGUCUCGAUAGAGGAAAAGAGGGUCUAAGUUCACCUCCAAACAGGAAAUCGACGAGUAUUCCUUCAGCCGAUUUAGGGCUGGAAACGAUGUCGGAGGUGGGUAGCUAAAGGGGGAGGAGACUGAGUGUGGAUCGACGGUGAUGUGAAGAAAUGGGGAAGUGAGGUGGUUUUAGGGAAUUUUAAUCAGAAGAUAGAAAGAAAAGCGGUGGACAACAAUCCAAUCCCUAUUGGCUUAGAUCAACUCCAACCACAAAACACUAAAAAAUACUAAAAUUGUGACUUUGUAACACUAAAAUGCAGUUUUCACUUCAACCAUACACAAAAAUUUUACAUUAAAAGUAAUAUAUAAAAUAAAAUAAUAAUUAUAAUGGUGUUAAAAAUAGUAAAUAUAAUAAAAUAAUGGAGUUAUAUUGAAAAAGUACAUUUGGUGUUGGGAGAUAGACACACCAAAUAUGGAGGCCACCAAGAGGUUUCACAAAAAUGGUGAUGAUUUUGAAGGUCCAUUAGAAUGGUUUUUAAAAGAUUUGCACCAUUUUAGUGGUCCAUUGGAGUUGCUCUUAGACAGUAGGUUAUGGGGACAUCGGCAACCAUUAAGUGCCAUUGGUAGCUGGAGUCAAUAGAAAUGAGGUUUGCCUCAUAGUUUUUAAAAAGGAAUAAAAAAUAGACCAAUGAACAACAAGAAAGAGGUGUGUAUGAGGCGGUUAGGUUCGGUUAUUGGUCAAAACCGAACCAUAACCAUUACAAUUGGUUAGUGUAUUUUGGUAACCAUUAGGUAGCGGUUAAUAUUGGUUUUGGUUAACGGUUUUAAUCGGUUGAUGGUUAAUAUCGAUUAACCAAAAUGGUCAAUGAUGACAUAAAAAUAAAAAUAAUUUUCUAUUAAAAUUAAAAAACAUAAAGUUCUAUCAUUAUAAAAAAUAAAUGAUUGUGUAUAUAUAAUUGUAUUGAUAUCUAACUCAACUAAUUACCCUUUAAAAUUUCAAGUCCUAAUAUAAUUACAUACCAUAUAUUUAAUAUUAUAUUAUAUUAAAAAUAUUUAUUAAUAUUAUUGGUUCGGUUCGGUUUAUAAUGGUUCAGUUUUAAAUAAAAACCAUAAUUGAACCAUAUGUAUUAAGUUAAUCAAAAUUGGAAACCGAACCAUAUCUUUUAGUAAUGGUUUAGUUAAAAUGGUUCGGUUAUAUGAAUUAAUUUGGUUAUAAUUCAGUUUUUCGGUUAAUAUGUUCACCCCUAGCAAGAAGUUUUCAUAAGAUAACACACAAUUUGUAUAUAUAAAGAACUAGUUUAUAACCCGUGGGAACCACGGUUACAAAAUUAAUUUAACUUUUAUAGUAAAAGUUCAAAGUUAUUAAUCAAUUAUUUUAAAUAAAUUAUUAAUUAUGUGAAAUUAUAAAAUUAUAAUAAUUGAUUUAAAUAAAUAUGUGAAAUUAUAUCACUUUAUAGUUUGUAUUAAUUUUAUUUUAAUUUUUAUUUUAAUUCUAUUAAUUUAAUGUAGAUAGAAUGGAAAAUUUAAAAUUUGAAAUUUAAAAUGAAUAAUCAAUAGGUUGACAAGUGACAAAUAUUAAUUAUGAGAGAUAAUAUAGUGACACAUGACAAAAGAAGAAUAAAAUAUGCAUUAAUUAAGAGUUCUAGUAAAAUGACACAUAUCAAAAGGAGAAUAAAACUAUUCUUUUAUUACAAUAGGAAGAUUUUAGAAUUGUAAAAUUUAUAAUGAAUUAAUUUUUAAAUUUUAGUAACCGUAUAUAUUAAUUUUAAAACUAUUAUAACAGUAAAGAUUAUAAUAUUGAUAAAUAUAUAGUAUAUAAAUAAAUAUUAAAUGUUCACAAAAUUUAUUUUUCUUUCUUUAAAAAAUGGCGAUAAACUCCCCAGACAGUUAAAUUUUGGUGUUUCCCAAUUCCCACUUUUCCUCCACCCCCAAGUUGACUCCGCAAAAUCCCUAGGUCUCCGUUUCCAAAAUCCACAGAUCAUGCACAAUCGAAGUCGAAUGUGGACCAUCAUCCCGCCCCUUUGGCCUCCGUUUCUCUUACUAGGCCCGCCGUCGAGCUUGUAGUCCAUAAUCAUUGUCUCUCUACUCAGUCUCAGUCAAGCUUCUAGUUCAUCCCCUUUUUCCUCCGUUUAUCUGCUUUCUGUGACUCUCUCUCAGCCUUCUCUUUUCUACUCCACUCCGGCGGCGAACUACUGGUAACCCACUACGAUUCAGACACCCUUCUUCGUAUUUUCUAUCCAGAGGUAAAUGGCUCGAAACAAGGUACUUCAGUUUUCAAAUGAAAGAGCUCGGGACGAUCGCAACGCGUGCACCCGUGUUUUCUGCAAUAUGUGAUUUUUGGGAAUGAACUCUGAUAAUUGUUUUAUUUGAAAUGCUUUUCAAUGUUUGGACAAAUAUAAAAUAGAGUUUUGAUUAUAAUAAAAAUGAACUUUUUAUCCUUGA
Long non-coding RNA from Lactuca sativa (garden lettuce), 3380 nucleotides. RefSeq lists it as uncharacterized. The record is from RefSeq and is a predicted model, not a curated record. NCBI's taxonomy places the organism in Eukaryota, Viridiplantae, Streptophyta, Magnoliopsida, Asterales, Asteraceae.